CCCUGGAAUGCUGCCCAACAAGCUGGAGCAGAUCGACACUAAUCCCACCAUGCCCCUGAAGGCUGGUAUGUGCAGCACGAUGCCUGCAGGGCAACACCACAGCUUGACAACACUCGGACGAACAAGGAAACCUCUUUGAAAACGGCGUUUCACGGAACACAGAGAGUAAGCUUCUCGUGCCACCAGCUUGCUGCAGAGCUCCACGGUGCUGCGGCAGAGUUUGUCAAUUUCACGGACACGCUAGCAUACUCUGCACAGCGUGAUGGAAAUGCAUGAAGACCUAUUCUUCCAGGGAUUCAGACUGGAACUCUUACACUGUGUUUCCAGAUCUUAUCAAGAGAUCACAAAGUCCUGUUUGGAGAAAGAACAAACAAAACCAACAACAACCACGGAUAAGAGACCUCUCCUGAAAGCAAGCGGACUGGGUUCAGGUGUGGCGAGAUACUGUUCAAGAAACAAAGACCUGAGAGAGUGCCUCCCGCACAUCAAGGGCUUGGCUGUGUUUCAACGUGCCUAUUCCCAGCAGGGGUGAUAGAUGGGAAGGAGUCAGGCCUGGCGGUGCGGUCACAGGUGUGAGCCCUGCAUUGCACCGGGGUAAUUAGCACACAACACAGAGAUUUGCAGUGGCUCAUUAGAAGAGUGUUGCCUCCCUCCUGGUCCCAGUGCAGUAUCUCCUGCACCAUGAGGAAUCCUCGCUGUAUCCCCAGGCCCCGAGGUGUGUGUGUGCUGCGCAUUCCCAGCAGGAACGCAUUCUCUCAUUAACUGCAAAUUAAAACAGCUCUGUGGUAGGUGGGGCAUGGUCUACUUCCGACUCCACUCGUGUGUGAAAUUAAAAACACGCUAAACCCCCCUCCCUUCCUGAGCUUCAGAACGGGACAUUUUCAUCACCCUGCGGGGGUCACAACGUCUUCCAUUCCGAUUAGGAGGGGUUGUCCCUAGAUUUAUGGUAAUGCAAGAGGGUCACUGUGCAUCUCUCUGUCUCUCUCUCCAGUGAGCGCUCUGCUCUGCCAGUUCCCUGGAGGCCUGGGAUUGAGUCACAUGGUGCAGCUGCCUGUUCUCUGACCCCAGUCAUGUAAACACAGCCACACUCCUGUGAGGUGCUCAAUGGCCUUGAUUAUGUAUGAGCUCUGGGCCGGCUGCCAAGGGGAAGACCCAGUGCAAGGCUUCCCUUGGCAGACAGCCAAUCCACCAU
This is a long non-coding RNA of Acipenser ruthenus (sterlet), 1192 nucleotides long. RefSeq lists it as uncharacterized. The record is from RefSeq and is a predicted model, not a curated record. Lineage: Eukaryota; Metazoa; Chordata; Actinopteri; Acipenseriformes; Acipenseridae. The transcript is spliced from 4 exons.